AGUGAACGCUGGCGGUAGGCCUAACACAUGCAAGUCGAACGGCAGCACAGUAAGAGCUUGCUCUUACGGGUGGCGAGUGGCGGACGGGUGAGGAAUACAUCGGAAUCUACUUUUUCGUGGGGGAUAACGUAGGGAAACUUACGCUAAUACCGCAUACGACCUACGGGUGAAAGCAGGGGAUCUUCGGACCUUGCGCGAGUGAAUGAGCCGAUGUCGGAUUAGCUAGUUGGCGGGGUAAAGGCCCACCAAGGCGACGAUCCGUAGCUGGUCUGAGAGGAUGAUCAGCCACACUGGAACUGAGACACGGUCCAGACUCCUACGGGAGGCAGCAGUGGGGAAUAUUGGACAAUGGGAGCAAGCCUGAUCCAGCCAUACCGCGUGGGUGAAGAAGGCCUUCGGGUUGUAAAGCCCUUUUGUUGGGAAAGAAAAGCAGCAGGUUAAUACCCCGCUGUUCUGACGGUACCCAAAGAAUAAGCACCGGCUAACUUCGUG
Molecule: ribosomal RNA, 492 nt
Filed under: uncultured bacterium
Lineage: Bacteria
Description: partial 16S ribosomal RNA
Rfam family: Bacterial small subunit ribosomal RNA
Source: RNAcentral